Molecule: ribosomal RNA, 518 nt
Filed under: uncultured Actinomycetes bacterium
Lineage: Bacteria; Bacillati; Actinomycetota; Actinomycetes
Description: bacterial SSU rRNA
Rfam family: Bacterial small subunit ribosomal RNA
Source: RNAcentral
GAGUACGCACUUCGGUGCAAUGUACGAGUGGCGAACGGGUGAGUAACACGUGAGAAACCUGCCUCGGAGACCGGGACAACCAUUGGAAACGAUGGCUAAUACCGGAUGUCCUCAUUUGAUCGCAUGAUCUUUUGAGGAAAUGAUCCGUCGCUCCGGGAGGGUCUCGCGGCCUAUCAGCUUGUUGGUGAGGUAAUGGCUCACCAAGGCAUCGACGGGUAGCUGGUCUGAGAGGACGAUCAGCCACACUGGGACUGAGACACGGCCCAGACUCCUACGGGAGGCAGCAGUAGGGAAUCUUGCACAAUGGGCGAAAGCCUGAUGCAGCGACGCCGCGUGGGGGAUGAAGGCCUUCGGGUUGUAAACCCCUUUCAGUAGGGACGAAAAUGACGGUACCUACAGAAGAAGCUCCGGCCAACUACGUGCCAGCAGCCGCGGUAACACGUAGGGAGCAAGCGUUGUCCGGAUUUAUUGGGCGUAAAGAGCUCGUAGGUGGUUCGGUAAGUCGGAUGUGAAAACUC